GUGUCAGCAGCCGCGGUAAUACGGAGGAUCCAAGCGUUAUCCGGAUUUAUUGGGUUUAAAGGGAGCGUAGGCGGCCAUUUAAGUCAGAGGUGAAAACUUGCAGCUCAACUGUAAGCUUGCCUUUGAUACUGAAUGACUUGAAUGAACUUGAGGUAGGCGGAAUGUGACAAGUAGCGGUGAAAUGCAUAGAUAUGUCACAGAACACCAAUUGCGAAGGCAGCUUACUAAGGUUUAAUUGACGCUGAGGCUCGAAAGCGUGGGGAUCAAACAGGAUUAGAUACCCUGGUAGUCC
Molecule: ribosomal RNA, 292 nt
Filed under: uncultured bacterium
Lineage: Bacteria
Description: partial 16S ribosomal RNA
Rfam family: Bacterial small subunit ribosomal RNA
Source: RNAcentral